AUAGCGUAUAUUAAAGUUGUUGCAGUUAAAAAGCUCGUAGUUGAACCUUGGGCCUGGCUGGCCGGUCCGCCUCACCGCGUGCACUGGUUCGGCCGGGCCUUUCCCUCUGGGGAGCCCCAUGCCCUUCACUGGGUGUGGUGGGGAACCAGGACUUUUACUGUGAAAAAAUUAGAGUGUUCAAAGCAGGCCUAUGCUCGAAUACAUCAGCAUGGAAUAAUAGAAUAGGACGUGUGGUUCUAUUUUGUUGGUUUCUAGGACCACCGUAAUGAUUAAUAGGGAUAGUUGGGGGCAUUAGUAUUCAAUUGUCAGAGGUGAAAUUCUUGGAUUUAUUGAAGACUAACUACUG
This 346-nucleotide ribosomal RNA is filed under the name uncultured eukaryote. RNAcentral describes it as "SSU rRNA". It matches the Rfam family "Eukaryotic small subunit ribosomal RNA", at positions 594 to 945 of the family's 1831-position model. The record is from RNAcentral.